AUUGAACGCUGGCGGCAUGAUUUACACAUGCAAGUCGAACGGUAACAGGCCGCAAGGUGCUGACGAGUGGCGAACGGGUGAGUAAUGCAUCGGAACGUGCCCAGUCGUGGGGGAUAACUACUCGAAAGAGUAGCUAAUACCGCAUACGAUCUAUGGAUGAAAGCGGGGGACCGUAAGGCCUCGCGCGAUUGGAGCGGCCGACGUCAGAUUAGGUAGUUGGUGGGGUAAAGGCUCACCAAGCCAACGAUCUGUAGCUGGUCUGAGAGGACGACCAGCCACACUGGGACUGAGACACGGCCCAGACUCCUACGGGAGGCAGCAGUGGGGAAUUUUGGACAAUGGGCGCAAGCCUGAUCCAGCAAUGCCGCGUGCAGGAAGAAGGCCUUCGGGUUGUAAACUGCUUUUGUACGGAACGAAACGGCUCUGGUUAAUACCCGGGGCUAAUGACGGUACCGUAAGAAUAAGCACCGGCUAACUACGUG
Molecule: ribosomal RNA, 482 nt
Filed under: uncultured bacterium
Lineage: Bacteria
Description: partial 16S ribosomal RNA
Rfam family: Bacterial small subunit ribosomal RNA
Source: RNAcentral